GGAAUCUUCCACAAUGGGCGAAAGCCUGAUGGAGCAACGCCGCGUGUGUGAUGAAGGGUUUCGGCUCGUAAAACACUGUUGUAAGAGAAGAAUGACAUUGAGAGUAACUGUUCAAUGUGUGACGGUAACUACCCAGAAAGGGACGGCUAACUACGUGCCGG
RNAcentral lists this ribosomal RNA (161 nucleotides) under uncultured bacterium. RNAcentral's name for it is "partial 16S rRNA". It matches the Rfam family "Bacterial small subunit ribosomal RNA", at positions 358 to 511 of the family's 1533-position model. The record is from RNAcentral.